GGUCGAUCAUGGCUCAGAUUGAACGCGCUGGCGGGAUGCUUACUAAUAUGCAGUCGAACGGCAGCACGGACUUCGGCCUGGUGGCGAGUGGCGAACGGGUGAGUAAUGUAUCGAAUGCGCUCAUAGCGGGGAGACCGGCGCGAAAAGUAGCUAAUACCGCAGCGAAUACCUUCGGGAAAGCGGGGACCUUCCGGGCCUCGCAACUGCUGAGCGGCUGAUAUCGGAUUAGCUAGUUGGUGGGGUAACGGCUCUGCACUGGCAUGACGAUCCGUAGCUGGUUUGAGAGGACGACCAGCCACACUGACCAGACACGGCCCAGACCUACGGAGGCAGCAGUGGGAAUUUUGGACAAUGGGGGAGAUCCCUGAUCCAGCCAUCCCGCGUGUGCGAUGAAGGCCUUCGGGUUGUAAAGCACUUUUGGCAGGAAGAAACGGCACGGGAUAAUACCCCGUGCAACUGGAUGUACCUAAAGCACUUUGUCAUCACGUGCCAGCAGCCGCGAAUACGUAGGGUGUUAAUCGGAAUUACUGGGCGGCGUGCGCAGGCGGUUCGGAAAGAAAGAUGAAUCCCAGAGCUUAACUUGAACGGCAUUUUAAUCACUGAGCUAGAUGCUGAGGAGGUGGAAUUCCGCGUGUAGCAGAAAUGCGUAGAUAUGCGGAGGUUCAUUCGACAGAAGGGGCAGCCUCCUGGGAUAAAUACUUUACGCUCAAGUGCAAUGAGUGCAGAGCAAACAGGAUUAGAUACCCUGGUAGUCCACGCCCUAAACGAUGUCAACUAGCUGUUGGGGCCUUCGGGCUCUGGUAGCGCAGCUAACGCGGUGAAGUUGACCGCCUGGGGAGUACGGUCGCAAGAUUAAACUCAAAGGAAUUGACGGGGACCUGCAAGCGGUGGAUGAUGUGAUUAAUUCGAGCAACGCGAAAACCAUCACCUUGACAUGCGUUUGGGAAUCCCGAAGAGAUUUGGGAGUGCUCGCAAGAGAACCGGAACAGGUGCUGCAUGCAUGUCGUCAGUCGUCAGAUGUUGCUUAAGUCCCAACGAGCGCACUCCGUCAUAAAGUUGCUACGAAAGGGCACUUAUAUCGAGACUGCCGGUGACAAACCGGAGGAAGGUGGCGACGUCAAGUCCCAUGGCCUCAGGUAGAAUAUCGUCAUACACGGUCGGGACAGAGGGUCGCCAACCCAAGAGGGGGAGCCAAUCCCAGAAACCCGAUCGUAGUCCGGAUCGCAGUCUGCAACUCGACUGCGUGAAGUCGGACCAGUAACUUCAGAUCAGCAUGUCGGGUGACGUUCCCGUGGUCGGUACACACCGCCUGUCACACCAUGGGAGUGGGGUUUUUGACCAGAAGUAGUUAGCCUAACCGUAAGGAGGGCGAUUACCACGGUAGGAUUCAAGGACUGGGGUGAAGUUUAACAAGGUA
RNAcentral lists this ribosomal RNA (1417 nucleotides) under uncultured Bordetella sp. RNAcentral's name for it is "partial 16S-23S ribosomal RNA intergenic spacer". It matches the Rfam family "Bacterial small subunit ribosomal RNA". Lineage: Bacteria; Pseudomonadati; Pseudomonadota; Betaproteobacteria; Burkholderiales; Alcaligenaceae. The record is from RNAcentral.